Molecule: ribosomal RNA, 240 nt
Filed under: uncultured bacterium
Lineage: Bacteria
Description: partial 16S ribosomal RNA
Rfam family: Bacterial small subunit ribosomal RNA
Source: RNAcentral
AGCGGCGGACGGGUGAGUAACGCGUGGGUAACCUGCCUCAUACAGGGGGAUAGCAGUUGGAAACGGCUGCUAAUACCGCAUAAGCGCACAGUACCGCAUGGUACGGUGUGAAAAACUCCGGUGGUAUGAGAUGGACCCGCGUCUGAUUAGGUAGUUGGUGGGGUAACGGCCUACCAAGCCGACGAUCAGUAGCCGACCUGAGAGGGUGACCGACCACAUUGGGACUGAGACACGGCCCAA